Molecule: transfer RNA, 89 nt
Filed under: Arcticibacter pallidicorallinus
Lineage: Bacteria; Pseudomonadati; Bacteroidota; Sphingobacteriia; Sphingobacteriales; Sphingobacteriaceae
Description: tRNA-Leu
Rfam family: tRNA
About the family: Transfer RNA (tRNA) molecules are approximately 80 nucleotides in length. Their secondary structure includes four short double-helical elements and three loops (D, anti-codon, and T loops).
Source: RNAcentral
GACUGGAUCGCGGAAUGGUAGACGCAAACGUCAGGCAAGCAUAAGCCCUCAAUCGUUGCAAAUAGCAGGUUCGAUUCCUGCUCCAGUCA